UCCGUAGGCGGUGUGGCAAGUCGGAAGUGAAAUCUCUGGGCUUAACCCAGAGUCUGCUCCCGAAACUGCUAUGCUAGAGUGCGAGAGAGGCGAGUGGAAUUGCGGGUGUAGCGGUGAAAUGCGUAGAUAUCCGCAGGAACAUCCGAGGCGAAAGCGGCUCGCUGGAUCGCAACUGACGCUGAGGGACGAAAGCUAGGGGAGCAAACAGGAUUAGAUACCCUGGUAGUCCUAGCCCUAAACCAUCAGGACUUGGGGUUUGCCCUGUACGGGGCAAGUCCCGUAGCUAACGCGUUAAGUCCUGCGCCUGGGGAGUACGGUCGCAAGGCUGAA
This 330-nucleotide ribosomal RNA is filed under the name uncultured bacterium. RNAcentral describes it as "bacterial SSU rRNA". It matches the Rfam family "Bacterial small subunit ribosomal RNA", at positions 568 to 898 of the family's 1533-position model. The record is from RNAcentral.